CGGGGUGAGUAAUGUCUGGGAAAACUGCCCGAUGGAGGGGAGGAAUAGCUGGAAACGGUAGCUAAUACCGCAUAACGUCGCAAGACCAAAGAGGGGGACCUUCGGGCCUCUUGCCAUCGGAUGUGCCCAGAUGGGAUUAGCUAGUAGGUGGGGUAACGGCUCACCUAGGCGACGAUCCCUAGCUGGUCUGAGAGGAUGACCAGCCACACUGGAACUGAGACACGGUCCAG
Molecule: ribosomal RNA, 230 nt
Filed under: uncultured bacterium
Lineage: Bacteria
Description: partial 16S ribosomal RNA
Rfam family: Bacterial small subunit ribosomal RNA
Source: RNAcentral